This 193-nucleotide unclassified non-coding RNA is filed under the name soil metagenome. RNAcentral describes it as "partial internal transcribed spacer 1". The record is from RNAcentral.
ACGAGUUAGGGUCCUCUAGGCCCGACCUCCCAAACCCUUUGCUUACCGAACCUCUGUUGCUUCGGCGGGCCCGUCUCACGACCGCCGGAGGACCGCCGCAGGGCGUGUCCUCUAGCCCGUGUCCGCCGAUAGCCAACUACAAAACUCUGUAUAAAUCAUGUCUCAUGUCUAAGUCAAAUUGAAAUUAAAAGCA